This 380-nucleotide long non-coding RNA is filed under the name Marmota monax (woodchuck). Lineage: Eukaryota; Metazoa; Chordata; Mammalia; Rodentia; Sciuridae. The record is from RNAcentral.
UACUAUCAUUCUUAGUGUUAGGACAUCUUCAAUGCCUCAUUUAAGGUUUGCCUUGCAUUUGCAGAAGCCCUUGUUCUCUGCAGGGCAAGAGACUGUGCCUGGGUUUGGUGGCUGCCACCUUGAUAAAGAGACAGCCUUCCUUGUUAAUGGGACUGUUGGCCCAAGGCUUUUCCUAGUCUUCUUUCCAGGCACCUCCAACUUGUUCUCAAAUAAUUUCUGGAGUCUGGAUCACCAUUAUAGUUCACAUCACCACCAAAUUUCAGUUUUGAAUUUAAAAGUAAAUAAUGCAAUUAACUUUGGAGAAUUUAUGAAAUACAAUGAUACUUCCUUAUAGUAUGUUAUUCAUGUGGAUUGAAUUUGCAAGGUUUUCAUUUGCCUGA